This 1359-nucleotide ribosomal RNA is filed under the name oral metagenome. RNAcentral describes it as "bacterial SSU rRNA". It matches the Rfam family "Bacterial small subunit ribosomal RNA". The record is from RNAcentral.
AGAGUUUGAUCCUGGCUCAGAAUGAACGCUAGCGGUAUGCCUAACACAUGCAAGUCGAACGGUAAGGCUUUCUUCGGAGAGUACACGAGUGGCGCACGGGUGAGUAACACGUGAGCAACCUGCCUUUAGCCCUAGGAUAACAGUUGGAAACGACUGCUAAUACUGGAUAAUAUAUUUAAUCGAUAGGGUUAAAUAUCAAAGGACACUGGAACUGAGACACGGUCCAGACUCCUACGGGAGGCAGCAGUGAGGAAUAUUGCGCAAUGGGGGGAACCCUGACGCAGCAAUACCGCGUGAGUGAGGAAGGUCCUUUGGAUUGUAAAGCUCUGUGGAGUGGGAAGAUGAUGACGGUACCACUUUAGAAAGCACCGGCUAACUACGUGCCAGCAGCCGCGGUAAUACGUAGGGUGCAAGCGUUGUUCGGAAUUAUUGGGCGUAAAGCGGAUGUAGGUGGUUUAUUAAGCCAGAUGUGAAAGCCCAAGGCUUAACCUUGGACGUGCAUUUGGAACUGGUAAACUAGAGUGUGUUAUGGGAGUGCGGAAUUCCUAGUGUAGCGGUGAAAUGCGUAGAUAUUAGGAGGAACAUUCGUGGCGAAGGCGGCACUCUGGGGCAACACUGACACUCAGAUCCGAAAGCAUGGGUAGCAAACAGGAUUAGAUACCCUGGUAGUCCAUGCCGUAAACGAUGAGGGCUAUUUGUAGGACUCCGCCUGGGGAGUACGGUCGCAAGAUUAAAACUCAAAGGAAUUGACGGGGGCCCGCACAAGCGGUGGAGCAUGUGGUUUAAUUCGAUGCAACGCGAAAAACCUUACCUGGACUUGACAUCCCCUAGACGAAUACUAGAGAUAGUAUUUUCUCUUCGGAGCUGGGGUGACAGGUGCUGCAUGGUUGUCGUCAGCUCGUGCCGUGAGGUGUUGGGUUAAGUCCCGCAACGAGCGCAACCCCUGUUUACAUUUGCCAUCAUUAAGUUGGGGACUAUGUAGAGACUGCCGGUGUUAAACCGGAGGAAGGUGGGGAUGACGUCAAAUCAUCACGGCCCUUAUGUCCAGGGCUACACACGUGCUACAAUGGUAGGGACAAAGAGCAGCGAAGCAGUGAUGUGGAGCAAAUCUCAAAAACCCUAUCUCAGUUCGGAUUGAAGUCUGCAACUCGACUUCAUGAAGUUGGAAUCGCUAGUAAUCGUGGAUCAGCAUGCCACGGUGAAUACGUUCCCGGGCCUUGUACACACCGCCCGUCACACCACGGGAGUUGUUUCAGCCAGAAGCCGUCGAGCUAACCCGCAAGGGAGGCAGGCGUCGUAGGUUGGGGCGAUGACUGGGGUGAAGUCGUAACAAGGUAUCCCUACCGGAAGGUGGGGAUG